AAAAAUAUUUCUAAAAAUAAAUAAAUUAUGAACCAAAAAGGGAAUUGUUGAAAUUGGUACAAGCUUUUAAGAAAAUGUAUUAUUAUAUGUUCUCUUUCUUCAAAAGCAUAUGAUUUUUAGAUAUUGAACUAUCUCUGCCAAGUUCUAGUGCGUUAAAGCAAUGGUGCGCAAAAUUAUCUUGUGCUCCAGGUUUACAGGAUGAUGUUUUAAAUUUGAUUAAAAACUGUGCCAAAAAUUUAAGUGGAUUAAAAAAAUUUGUGUUCUUAGUUUUGAGGAAAUGAAUGUCUCCUCUGAUAUUUGCUAUGAUGCUGGACUUGAUCAAAUCCUAUCUCCUUUCAAAAAAGUUCAUCUGGAUUUUAUAAGAGGACUGUUUUCAAAGUGGAAACAAAAGAUUUUUUUACGAUUUAUAAGUUACAAUGAAUAAAGUCUUACUUUUCAAAGUCAUAGAAGGCUUGGAAAUCUAUGCCAAAGCUAUUGUUUCAGAUUUAGGAGGAUCUGGAACACUUUGGAAGAAUCUCCAAAUAACAAUUUGAAUAAGUUUAUUUUUUGAAUCCUGACCAUCGUCAAAAGCCUUUUUUUUGCUAACAUGUUACCGCAGAAUCAUUUAUUGGACCUUGGAAUAAUUUUAGAUGAUGGAAUUUUGAUCAACUCUGGAAUUGUUGAAGAAGUAUUGAGAAAAGGUACAGGAGAAAAGAAAAUUGUGCCACAAACUAAAAGAGUCAUAUCUGUUAGUUUAAGGUAAUGAUAGACAGAAAGUUACAUCAGCAAAGGUAUUAUUCUCUUCCAUUACAUCAAAGGUUUAAAGAAGAGUUUACUGGAAACAAGAAGGCAUAUGAGUUUUUUAAAAAUUAAUCCAUGAUUUUUUUGAUGUGUUGAACAGCAAGAGCUUAGAGCCUUCUCCAGCAAAAAAAGAGAAUGAUGUGAAGUUUUCAUAAUAUCUUUACUUGCGGUCUCUGAGAUCUGUGUGUGGCAUGACGUCAAGAGGAGGGAAAUCGUAGCUUUAGCUCUAAGAGAGGAAUGAACCAGCCUUUCUCUCUCUUUUUCUUUAGCCCUGAUUUUUACCAGUUAAGCAUUAAUUAAAAGUAGCAGGAAGAGUAAUCUUUUCAUCAUUGUACUGUCUAUGAAAUCUGAAUGGAAAGGAAGAAAAAAUCUGCGAAUGCACUGUAAAACCAGUUGGUCAAUGAGCUUUAGGAAUACAGUGGUUUGUUAAACUAAUUAACUUUGUUUAAGACACUCUUGCCUUGUUUCCACUAGCAGGUUUAAGAAAUUUUAAGAUUUCUUAAACCUGCAAGGUAUUAGUCUUAAAAUUUUCUUCAUGUUAAGUAUAAUUUUCGAAAUUUUCUCUUUUUUACGUUAUGUUAUGUUUAUCUCUUUGGUACUUCCUUUUUUAUUAAAUAUAUGUUACUUUCUGCACAUAAAACUACUAUUUAACUUUAUGACUUGCAUAUAGUGUGUUUAAAUAUAUCUUGGUCAGUAGAAAAACUGAAACAAACUUGUUCAAUAUUUUUCAUAAAACUAUUGAAUCAUGUUAAAAUUAAUUUAACCCUUAGCAUCUCUGGAUU
Parasteatoda tepidariorum (common house spider) is the source of this 1562-nucleotide non-coding RNA. NCBI's taxonomy places the organism in Eukaryota, Metazoa, Arthropoda, Arachnida, Araneae, Theridiidae. The record is from RefSeq and is a predicted model, not a curated record.